CAGUAGCCACGGUAAUACGAAGGGGGCUAGCGUUGCUCGGAAUCACUGGGCGUAAAGGGUGCGUAGGCGGGUCUUUAGGUCAGGGGUGAAAUCCUGGAGCUCAACUCCAGAACUGCCUUUGAUACUGAAGAUCUUGAGUUCGGGAGAGGUGAGUGGAACUGCGAGUGUAGAGGUGGAAUUCGUAGAUAUCCGCAAGAACACCAGUGGCGAGGGCGGCUCACUGGCCCGAUACUGACGCUGAGGCACGAAAGCGUGGGGAGCAAACAGGAUUAGAUACCCCUGUAGUCCCUGUUUCUUAUAC
Molecule: ribosomal RNA, 301 nt
Filed under: uncultured bacterium
Lineage: Bacteria
Description: partial 16S ribosomal RNA
Rfam family: Bacterial small subunit ribosomal RNA
Source: RNAcentral